Molecule: unclassified non-coding RNA, 205 nt
Filed under: Glomus sp.
Lineage: Eukaryota; Fungi; Glomeromycota; Glomeromycetes; Glomerales; Glomeraceae
Description: partial internal transcribed spacer 2
Rfam family: 5.8S ribosomal RNA (bases 1-70)
Source: RNAcentral
GUGAAUCAUCAAAUUUUUGAACGCAACUUGCACUUUUUGGUAUUCCAGAAAGUAUGCCUGUUUGAUGCCCAGUUAAAAAAAAAUCGGUGUUGUUGCUGCCUUUCGUUGUGACGCGUCGGAAUUAAUUUGACUUACUUUCGGUUAUGUGACUUAAAAUUUUUCAUGAUUUUAGUACUUAGUUAUAUUUAUUACUUACUUUAGGAAU